GCCGCCUUAGCUCAGUCGGACAGAGCGACGCACUCGUAAUGCGUAGGUCGGGGGUUCGAUUCCCCCAGGCGGCUCCA
This 77-nucleotide transfer RNA is filed under the name Haloactinomyces albus. RNAcentral's name for it is "tRNA-Thr". It matches the Rfam family "tRNA". From Rfam's summary of the family: Transfer RNA (tRNA) molecules are approximately 80 nucleotides in length. Their secondary structure includes four short double-helical elements and three loops (D, anti-codon, and T loops). Further hydrogen bonds mediate the characteristic L-shaped molecular structure. tRNAs have two regions of fundamental functional importance: the anti-codon, which is responsible for specific mRNA codon recognition, and the 3' end, to which the tRNAs corresponding amino acid is attached (by aminoacyl-tRNA synthetases). tRNAs cope with the degeneracy of the genetic code in two manners: having more than one tRNA (with a specific anti-codon) for a particular amino acid; and 'wobble' base-pairing, i.e. permitting non-standard base-pairing at the 3rd anti-codon position. The record is from RNAcentral. Lineage: Bacteria; Bacillati; Actinomycetota; Actinomycetes; Actinopolysporales; Actinopolysporaceae.